RNAcentral lists this long non-coding RNA (1335 nucleotides) under Heterocephalus glaber (naked mole-rat). Its description in RNAcentral is "lncRNA (ENSHGLG00100025234.2)". The record is from RNAcentral. Lineage: Eukaryota; Metazoa; Chordata; Mammalia; Rodentia; Bathyergidae.
CCCCUACACAACUCCCAGAAACAAAACCGCCUAACUUCGUGGCUCCAGUGGAAUCUCUCAGUUUGAUGUCAUGAAGUGGAAAUGGCCAAAGAUCCAGUAAGAAUGAUGUAAAGACACGGAAUCACAGCUCUGUGAGGGCCAGAGCUAUGGAAAUCGGAGGAAAUUGGACUUCACCGUGUUGGUGGCACACCCUGCCACCCUUGCCAGGAAAGGAAACGGGAAAAGGAAUCUGAGAAACCUCAGGACAAUUACAGUUCAUUUCCAUACCCUGACUGACAAUGUACUACCUCCUGCUACGGACCGACGUAAGCCUCUUGUCACACCAAGCUCUUAGGCAAAUGGAAUGGGACCAGAUGCAAGCGAUUUAAUAAGAACUUUGCAUAAGUAAUUAUUUAGUUAUUGAUUGUUGCUUGGAGCUGUAUCAUUCUGAAUGGUUCAAAAGCUUGCAUCCUAAACUAAGGUAAGUAAAGAGAAGUUGGAUGCUCAAGGUAGUAAAAAGAGGCUGAAUUUUUUUUUUGGCAUUUAUUGAGUUAAUUGUUUUUCUUUUUCCUUAACAUACACUGAGUAGUUAUAUAAUAUAAAAAGCUCCUUUUCAUAUCCCUCAAUGUGUACUCGGACUCCACAUAUAGAAUACCCCCUCCCCUCCAAAAAAAAUUCAGUCGGUGCCAAAAUCUACAUUUUCAUUUGGCGAACUAGUUAAAUCUAUUCAUAAUCUGGUGCCUGAAUCAAAUUUCAGAGCCGACUAGACUGCCUUGGCUCCUGGUUUUUGUUUCUCGACCUGUCUCCGACUGAAUUUAGCUAUGAUGUUACAUCUUUAGCUGUAGAAUUUCUAAUAAGAGUGGCCUGUUUUCCUUUGCCGCUGAGGGGCUCCUACACAAGACUCAGCAUUUCCAAGCAGGGGCCCUUUGGAGCCACUGUGGAGCAUUCUCUGGAAAGAAACUCCUUGUUUCUUUAACUUUUUUCCUCUUUUUUUUUCUCUAAAUGUUCACUUUAAUGGCUCUCACACUACAUAAAACUCAUGUAUUCUGCAGUGAAUAAAUUUUGCAGACAAUGUUGUCAAGAAUCAGGAGAGAAAGCACGGAGAUCUCAGGAUUUAGUUGUAAAGACGUGAAGGAUUUUUCUAUUUGUGAGAUGGCAAGCAUGUGUGAAGACCGAGCAGGAGCGGACUAUGAGGCUCUGAAAGCUAGAAGGAAUAUUCGGGAAUAUUCAGAAGAAAGAUUGUUGUUAAGACUAUUGAUAAACGAAAAGGUCUCCAACACAAUAUGGGAACAUUGUUAAUACGUUUAUGUAAAAAAAAAAAUCUAAGUAAAUAUGGCAGUUUAAAAAAUGAAGUAA